RNAcentral lists this ribosomal RNA (591 nucleotides) under uncultured bacterium. RNAcentral describes it as "bacterial SSU rRNA". It matches the Rfam family "Bacterial small subunit ribosomal RNA", at positions 334 to 918 of the family's 1533-position model. The record is from RNAcentral.
GAUUCCUACGGGAGGCAGCAGUGGGGAAUUUUGGACAAUGGGCGAAAGCCUGAUCCAGCCAUGCCGCGUGUCUGAAGAAGGCCUUCGGGUUGUAAAGGACUUUUGUCGGGGAGGAAAUCCCCAGCGCUAAUACCGCUGGGGGAUGACAGUACCUGAAGAAUAAGCACCGGCUAACUACGUGCCAGCAGCCGCGGUAAUACGUAGGGUGCAAGCGUUAAUCGGAAUUACUGGGCGUAAAGCGUGCGCAGGCGGUUUGAUAAGCCAGAUGUGAAAUCCCCGAGCUCAACUUGGGAACUGCGUUUGGAACUGUCAGACUAGAGUGCGUCAGAGGGGGGUGGAAUUCCGCGUGUAGCAGUGAAAUGCGUAGAGAUGCGGAGGAACACCGAUGGCGAAGGCAGCCCCCUGGGAUGACACUGACGCUCAUGCACGAAAGCGUGGGGAGCAAACAGGAUUAGAUACCCUGGUAGUCCACGCCCUAAACGAUGUCAAUUAGCUGUUGGGGGUUAGAAUCCUUGGUAGCGUAGCUAACGCGUGAAAUUGACCGCCUGGGGAGUACGGCCGCAAGGUUAAAACUCAAAUGAAUUGACGGAA